AUACGUAGGUGGCAAGCGUUGUCCGGAAUUACUGGGUGUAAAGGGUGCGUAGGCGGGGAUGCAAGUCAGAUGUGAAAUCUAUCGGCUCAACUGGUAAACUGCAUUUGAAACUGCAUUUCUUGAGUGGUGGAGAGGUAAGCGGAAUUCCUAGUGUAGCGGUGAAAUGCGUAGAUAUUAGGAGGAACACCAGUGGCGAAGGCGGCUUACUGGACACUAACUGACGCUGAGGCACGAAAGCAUGGGGAGCAAACAGGAUUAGAUACCCUGGUAGUCCAUGCCGUAAACGAUGAUUACUAGGUGUAGGGGGUAUCGACCCCUUCUGUGCCGGAGUUAACACAAUAAGUAAUCCACCUGGGGAGUACGGCCGCAAGGUUGAAACUCAAAUGAAUUGACGGGG
Molecule: ribosomal RNA, 397 nt
Filed under: uncultured bacterium
Lineage: Bacteria
Description: partial 16S ribosomal RNA
Rfam family: Bacterial small subunit ribosomal RNA
Source: RNAcentral